RNAcentral lists this transfer RNA (68 nucleotides) under Erinaceus europaeus (western European hedgehog). It matches the Rfam family "tRNA". Rfam says of the family: Transfer RNA (tRNA) molecules are approximately 80 nucleotides in length. Their secondary structure includes four short double-helical elements and three loops (D, anti-codon, and T loops). The record is from Rfam by way of RNAcentral. Lineage: Eukaryota; Metazoa; Chordata; Mammalia; Eulipotyphla; Erinaceidae.
UGCAAGGUGGCUUAGCAGGUAGAGCACAGGACUUGCAUACCUGAAGCCCUGAGUUCAAUCCCUGGCAA